GUCUACAGCCAUACCACCCUGAAAGUGCCUGUUCUUGGAAGCUAAGCAGGGUUGGGUCUGGUUAGUACUUGGAUGGGAGACUGCAGGGUAAUACCAGGAGCCAUAGGCU
RNAcentral lists this ribosomal RNA (109 nucleotides) under Callithrix jacchus (white-tufted-ear marmoset). The record is from RNAcentral. Lineage: Eukaryota; Metazoa; Chordata; Mammalia; Primates; Cebidae.